RNAcentral lists this ribosomal RNA (301 nucleotides) under uncultured bacterium. RNAcentral's name for it is "partial 16S ribosomal RNA". It matches the Rfam family "Bacterial small subunit ribosomal RNA", at positions 509 to 807 of the family's 1533-position model. The record is from RNAcentral.
CAGCAGCCGCGGUAAUACGUAGGGUGCGAGCGUUAAUCGGAAUUACUGGGCGUAAAGCGUGCGCAGGCGGUUGUGUAAGACAGGUGUGAAAUCCCCGGGCUUAACCUGGGAACUGCGCUUGUGACUGCACAGCUAGAGUAUGGCAGAGGGGGGUGGAAUUCCACGUGUAGCAGUGAAAUGCGUAGAGAUGUGGAGGAACACCGAUGGCGAAGGCAGCCCCCUGGGCCAAUACUGACGCUCAUGCACGAAAGCGUGGGGAGCAAACAGGAUUAGAUACCCGUGUAGUCCCUGUCUCUUAUAC